GAAAUGUUUCUUCUUCUUCUUCUUCUUCUUCUUCUUUUUUUUUUUCACUAAACAUAAAUUCCCAUAAAUUCUAAUUUUUC
Plasmodium gaboni is the source of this 80-nucleotide non-coding RNA. The record is from the annotation of a RefSeq genome assembly. Lineage: Eukaryota; Apicomplexa; Aconoidasida; Haemosporida; Plasmodiidae.